Molecule: long non-coding RNA, 1024 nt
Organism: Drosophila rhopaloa
Lineage: Eukaryota; Metazoa; Arthropoda; Insecta; Diptera; Drosophilidae
Exons: 3
Source: RefSeq, a predicted model, not a curated record
GGAACUGGGUGUGUUAACUUGUAUACUAAUGUUUAUAUUUAAUAUAUAAUAUUUGAUCAAUGUAAUCGAAUAUUAACUAUUUUAAUUAUUAAGUAUAUUUAAUAAAUAAAAUAGUUAAUAUACAUGUUAUGGAACUGCAUCAUCCUGGGACGGCGCCGGCUAGCUCCUGAAUCCUCAAGGCGCAGUACCCCCAAUGUCCCUACAGCUUCCACAACAUUAAACAUCGAUUACUAUCGACGUCUCACUCUACAAAUACUAACAUCUCUAACAACGAAAAAGUAAACAAGACCAAAAUAAACAAAUCGGGACAAAUAUGACGGAAAAAUGGCAUCAGAUGUGGCUGCCACAGCGCACCCACCCUUCCUGUGGUGUCCCUAGUGUCGCGAGGGAGGCACCACCCAUCGUCAGAGGCCGGAAUUACUGCCGGGCGGUCUACGACCGGCCCAUCUCCCCCAACAGGUAAGGAUGCUUCUUUUCAUGCGGGACCCUAAACGCACCAGCGUUUUGGAAAUUAAUUAAGGGGUCACAGCGGUAGUACCAUCGGGUCAGGAAACUGACUACAGUCGCCGCGGAAAUAAAACUUUGAGCAGGCUGGGAUUGGUCUACUGCACCAUUUGGGGCCACCUACUCCUGGGGAGCUCCGAGGUAUGAGAAGGGACGUGCGUAUGUAUAAAUUUAUAUAAGGAAAAGUCCCUAUUGACCUGAGUGUUUCCCUCACUUCUAAGGCUUCCCGCAAAUUUGCCUAACUUAACGGGGGGCAAAAAGGACGGAAGCAGGUAAAUCCACAUCAAUUUGACAACAAAGGUGUGGAGUUGGCGGACCGGAGAUCGGUAUCACGCCUUGGUUUGGCCACUGUGGACCGCGACGUGGGAGAGGCCGCGUGGUAAAGGAGCACGGUCAGGGUCGCGACGCUGCGCUGCUCGGGUUGUACGUGCCCGGAACGGACUCACCGAGGUAACUUGGAAUAUGGUUGAGGUUAAAUAAACCUAACUGCCUGCGGCGGUUGCUGCUGCCUGUGGCUGUU